GGGGNGAGCAAGCGUUGUUCGGAUUUACUGGGCGUAAAGGGCGCGUAGGCGGUCAGCACAAGUCAGUUGUGAAAUCUCCGGGCUUAACUCGGAAAGGUCAACUGAUACUGUGCGACUAGAGUGCGGAAGGGGCAACUGGAAUUCUCGGUGUAGCGGUGAAAUGCGUAGAUAUCGAGAGGAACACCUGCGGCGAAGGCGGGUUGCUGGGCCGACACUGACGCUGAUGCGCGAAAGCCAGGGGAGCGAACGGGAUUAGAUACCCCGGUAGUCCUGGCCUUAAACGAUGGAUGCUUGGUGUCUGGAGUUUUAUAGUCUCCGGGUGCCGUAGCUAACGCGUUAAGCAUCCCGCCUGGGGAGUACGGUCGCAAGACUG
RNAcentral lists this ribosomal RNA (373 nucleotides) under uncultured bacterium. Its description in RNAcentral is "bacterial SSU rRNA". It matches the Rfam family "Bacterial small subunit ribosomal RNA", at positions 527 to 896 of the family's 1533-position model. The record is from RNAcentral.